CGGGAUGUAGUUCAGUUGGUAGAACGCACGGUUCGGGACCGUGAGGUCCGCGGUUCGAGUCCGCGAUCCCCGACAAAGUUUCGGCGGGCAGGGACGAAGAGGCCGCCAGUUCGAGUCUGGCCAUCCCGACCA
Molecule: transfer RNA, 132 nt
Filed under: Candidatus Gottesmanbacteria bacterium
Lineage: Bacteria; Candidatus Gottesmaniibacteriota
Description: tRNA-Pro
Rfam family: tRNA (bases 1-73)
About the family: Transfer RNA (tRNA) molecules are approximately 80 nucleotides in length. Their secondary structure includes four short double-helical elements and three loops (D, anti-codon, and T loops).
Source: RNAcentral